AAACUUUCAACAACGGAUCUCUUGGUUCUGGCAUCGAUGAAGAACGCAGCGAAAUGCGAUAAGUAAUGUGAAUUGCAGAAUUCAGUGAACCAUCGAAUCUUUGAACGCACCUUGCGCCCUCCGGUAUCCGGUGGGCAUGCCUGUUCGAGCGUCAUU
RNAcentral lists this ribosomal RNA (156 nucleotides) under Chiodecton sphaerale. Its description in RNAcentral is "5.8S ribosomal RNA". It matches the Rfam family "5.8S ribosomal RNA". From Rfam's summary of the family: 5.8S ribosomal RNA (5.8S rRNA) is a component of the large subunit of the eukaryotic ribosome. It is transcribed by RNA polymerase I as part of the 45S precursor that also contains 18S and 28S rRNA. Lineage: Eukaryota; Fungi; Ascomycota; Arthoniomycetes; Arthoniales; Roccellaceae. The record is from RNAcentral.